This is a long non-coding RNA of Oreochromis aureus, 2618 nucleotides long. The record is from Ensembl. NCBI's taxonomy places the organism in Eukaryota, Metazoa, Chordata, Actinopteri, Cichliformes, Cichlidae.
CCGCGUCAACCAAUCAGGAGCCUGGUGACGUCGCUGUAACCAGGUCAAAGGGGCAGAUCAAACCAAAGCCCUUCAUUCUUCGUUCACUAUGGAGGAAAAACUAAUCAGCGCAGUGGCUAAUCACCCAGAAUUGUACGAUGCUAGCUGCUACUUCUACCGGGACAGGAACAAAAAGGAACUAGCUUGGAGGCACAUAAGUGAGGAGAUCGGGCAACCUGGUAAGUUCGUUUGUUCUUAUUUUUAAUUUUCAGACUGACCCGAUGAAGCCGCGCAAAAGCUAGCAAGCAUGCCUACUGUCCCGCUAUUUUCCCACUGAUGUACAAAUACCUUUCCGCUAACAAGAUAAUGUGUUUAUUCAGAGGACAUCUGCAGGAAAAAGUGGAAGAGCCUCAGGGACACCUAUAAUAAGGAGAAGAGGACGGAGAAGGAGAAGAGGAGUGGGUCUGCAGCAGGAUCGGGGAGGAGAUGGAAGUUCUUCGCGGUCAUGGGGUUUCUGGACCCCUUCCUCACCCCGCGGGAGACAAGCGGCAAUAUGGUCCAGGCCGUGGAGAACUUCGCCCCCGAGGACCAGGGACAGCCCGGAGAGGCAGCAGGGGAGUUUCAGUCUGAAGAGUCAUCUGAUUAUGCAGCAGAGCCAUCCCCUGCUGCUUCUUCUGGCUCCCCAGUCCCUGGUCCCUCCACUCCUGCUGCUGCACCCACAGGCCCACAGAGGAGGAAAGCUCAAAAGCGGCAGAGGGACGGGUCACAGGAUGGUCCAUCGGCGGUGGAGCUGGCCAUCCUGGAGUCGCUGAAGAGGCCACGCCCGUCUCCAACGGAGUAUUUCCUCCUCAGCCUUGCUCCUGCUCUGGAGAGCCUGCCGCCUCAGACACGAGAAUUCGUGAAAUUUCAAAUGCAUAAAUUAGUUUUUGAAAGCAGCACAGCUGUGUUAAAUUUGGAAACAUUGGACCCUAGCGAUCAGUAGUUUACUGAUGAGGCAGCAGGCUCUCCAGGGCAGAAACAAUGUUCUUAUUUUUCUCCUCAUUCUCCCUGAGGCUCUUCCACUCCAAGCUGGGUCCUUUUUGUUCCUGUCUCUCUGUAAAUAGUUAAAUGUUAUAUAUUUAUGUUUAAUGUUGUUAUUGAAUUUAUAUAUUUUUUCAAAUAAACAUUUUUAAUAACUAAUGUCUCAGUUUUACUACACAGCAAAUAUUCGCACCCGACUUGACACAUGUAGAAUGUAUUUCUUAUUAUACUAAUGACAAAAUAUACUAAUACAGUGGGAUGCAAACGUUUGGGCAACCUUGGUAAAAGUCAUUAUUUUCCGCUAUAAAUCGUUGGUUGUUACAAUAAAAGUUGUCAGUUAAUUAGAUCAUAUGGAAGACACGCACAGUGAUAUUUGAGAAGUGAAAUUAAGUUCACUGGAUUUACAUAAAGUGUGGAAUAACUGUUUAAACAAAAUCAAGCAGGUGCAUAAAUUGGCAACUUAAAAAAGACAAAUGAAAUGAAAAUUUAGUGUAUAUCAAUGUGUGUCUCUAAUAUAUGAUAUAUGCAAGUGACAUUUUCAAUUGUAACAGCAAUUCAUACAGGAAAAUAAUGACUAUUAAUAAGGUUGCCCAAAAUUUUGCAUCACACAGUAUAUAGGAACAUAGUGAAGACAAGUUAUUUAAGAGAGUAAAGAGAGGUUAUUUUAUUUUGGAGUAGAGCUCCAUUUAUUAAGAAAAUGUUAAAAAGGCAGGAACACUCUUUACAGGUUUGUGGGUGGCUCUUAAAAGAGCCGUUGUGGGGAAGUCACUCGGACUUCAAACAGGCUACUCCUUUGGCUGCCAAGUCACAGCUCCCUCCGCCGAGAAGUGGGCCAUGAAUUUCUCCCUCACCAGGACAGCUUCUCUGGAGGAGUUGUUUGCCACACGGCCCAGGCUAUGCAACGGCUCCACCACAGCAGGUGCCACACUCCUCACAGCAGGUGCCCCUCUCUCGUCCAAACAGCGUAGAAAAUUGUGGAGAACACACGUUGCCUUCACACACUUCUCCGCAAUUUCAGGACGGAGCUCCAUGGGGCGCCGAUACAUCCUCCACUGUGAGGAGAGGACACCAAAGGCACCCUCCACUAUCAUCCUGGCCCUGGAAAGGCGAUAGUUAAAGAUCCUUCUCUCUAAAGGGAGGAGGCGUCCAGGAAAAGGCCUCAUCAGCUCACGCCGCAGCGGGAACGCUUCAUCAGCCACAAACACAUGGGGCUGGGCUCCACGGUGUUCUCCACCAGGUAGAGGCUGGUCAGGAGGCAGAUGGAGAGUCCCAGCCCGAAGAGCCUGACCAAAGGUGGAGUUGGCCAGAAUACCCCCGUCGCUGGUCCUCCCGUACCCCCCAACAUCAAUAACUCGGAAGCGAUACCUUGCAUCCACAACCGCAAGGAGAACAAUGGAGAAUGUUCCUUGUAGUUGUAGAACAUGGAUCCUGAGUUGGGGGGUGCCUUCGUCUGAACGUGCUUCCCAUCCAGAGCUCCGCAGCAGAGAGGGAAGUGCCAGCGCUCCUGGAAUUCCUCUGCAAUGGACUGCCAGUCUCCCAGUGAAGGCACAGCCAUGAAAUCAUCCACUAGACAGUCCCAGAUGGCUGUCGCUACCUGGGGAUGAUCUGGCUCACGGUAG